Long non-coding RNA from Dipodomys spectabilis (banner-tailed kangaroo rat), 551 nucleotides. RefSeq lists it as uncharacterized. The record is from RefSeq and is a predicted model, not a curated record. NCBI's taxonomy places the organism in Eukaryota, Metazoa, Chordata, Mammalia, Rodentia, Heteromyidae. The transcript is spliced from 3 exons.
CUCAAGUGGUCAGAGUGAAGAAGGGACAGUUCCACUGCGGAGGCUCUGAAGCUCUCUUCGGCAAGAAGGGAAUUCUCAUUUUUCAGCAAGAUGAACAUAUUAUACUCAAUAGAAAGGAAAACUUCAGGCGGCCUCAUGGUAUGACAUCUUCACCUUCCUCACCAGCACUGUUUAGGUGCAGGGAUGUGUGGUACUGUGGACACAGAAACUACAUCUGAUAACACCUCAGACAAUUCAAAAUGCUUUCAGCUCUGAAGAUGGCUGCCUGCAGGGAAGAAUCCCACGCCAUUCACUAUUCGUGCCAGUAAAAAGAGCCUCUGACCCUACAAACUGAAAACCCCUGAGAAUGACCAGACGGACUGUGACAAAAUGAGACACUAUUCCUAGGAGUCCUGUUAUGUCUCCAGUGUUUUUCUUGAUGAACGCUUGCUUUGGAUGGGAGGCAUGUAUGUGAUUAAUGCUUGCUCUGGACAGGAGGUGAGUGUGCAUACAUGUGCAUGAGUGUGGGGCACAGUCUGUGUGCACAUGGAGAUAUUUUCAGAACCAGGAAU